RNAcentral lists this ribosomal RNA (585 nucleotides) under uncultured bacterium. Its description in RNAcentral is "bacterial SSU rRNA". It matches the Rfam family "Bacterial small subunit ribosomal RNA", at positions 338 to 916 of the family's 1533-position model. The record is from RNAcentral.
CCUACGGGAGGCAGCAGUGGGGAAUUUUGGACAAUGGGCGAAAGCCUGAUCCAGCCAUGCCGCGUGCAGGAUGAAGGCCUUCGGGUUGUAAACUGCUUUUGUACGGAACGAAAAGCCUCUUUCUAAUAAAGAGGGGUCAUGACGGUACCGUAAGAAUAAGCACCGGCUAACUACGUGCCAGCAGCCGCGGUAAUACGUAGGGUGCGAGCGUUAAUCGGAAUUACUGGGCGUAAAGCGUGCGCAGGCGGUUAUAUAAGACAGUUGUGAAAUCCCCGGGCUCAACCUGGGAACUGCAUCUGUGACUGUAUAGCUAGAGUACGGUAGAGGGGGAUGGAAUUCCGCGUGUAGCAGUGAAAUGCGUAGAUAUGCGGAGGAACACCGAUGGCGAAGGCAAUCCCCUGGACCUGUACUGGCGCUCAUGCACGAAAGCGUGGGGAGCAAACAGGAUUAGAUACCCUGGUAGUCCACGCCCUAAACGAUGUCAACUGGUUGUUGGGAAUUCACUUUCUCAGUAACGAAGCUAACGCGUGAAGUUGACCGCCUGGGGAGUACGGCCGCAAGGUUGAAACUCAAAUGAAUUGACGG